GUAAGCUGAGGUCGCCAGGCAACUUUGGAUCAGUCAGCUAACUACAAGAGACGCACUCUUCGAGCUCAGCGCAGCCCAGCCCAGGUAUAUUGUUGAAACUCUGAUUAUAUCACUCAUGAGUAAUUUCCCUGGACUAAAAAAAUCUCCAUGUGUCAGCCUCCACGUACGAAGCACUUGAAUCAUGUACUUGAAUACGAGUAUCUUGAAUCCGAAGCACUUGAAUCCAGGCAUCUGCUUAAGAAUAUUGACUGAAAUCAUACCAGAAGAAAACAAUGAAGGAAAAGUAACAGAAAAGCCUGGCCACUCAGCUAGAAACCACAUAUAUUCCUCGUCUUCCUUCACGGCUGGGUAUGGAGAGUUCUGGCCAAUGGAAUGCAACUCCUAGGUCAUCUCCAUCUAAGAGGUCAAGCCAUACGCCCUUCCUUUCCUUUCCCUAUGAGCUGAAACAUGGAUGUGCCUAGGACUCAGCUUCAACCACAGACAGAAAGAUAAUACCCAAGGAGUUAGUGGGGUCAUACGAUGGACAACUCCUACUCCUUGACUGGUCACAUGGGACAGAACCACCACACCUGCCUCAGCUGUCACCUGGGUCCUGUCACAUCAAAGGCAAGCAAACUGUCUCAUUAUUCUACUGCACUUCAGGAGUUUCUUCUUUAUGACAGCUUAAUUCUUAUCCUACCUAGCAGAAGGC
This 691-nucleotide long non-coding RNA is filed under the name Capra hircus (goat). RNAcentral's name for it is "lncRNA (ENSCHIG00000002138.1)". Lineage: Eukaryota; Metazoa; Chordata; Mammalia; Artiodactyla; Bovidae. The record is from RNAcentral.